UCCACCCCAAUGCCAAAGACCUGAUAGAGAUCAGAUCUAAGAGAGAAAAAGAGAGAGAAAAAGAGAAAAAAAGAUUCUUCUUCCUUUCUUGAUGAUCUGGUUCAUAUCCCGUCGAAUCUACAUGAAGGAGUUCGCACAGCGAUCAUUUUCUUCGAGAUCUAGAAGAAGAGAUUUAGAUCCAAAAUUGAAGAGUGAGAUUUGUAAGGUGCUAGUACACUGAUGAUCUCAGUGCUUCGAUUAGGUAUCU
Molecule: long non-coding RNA, 247 nt
Filed under: Elaeis guineensis (African oil palm)
Lineage: Eukaryota; Viridiplantae; Streptophyta; Magnoliopsida; Arecales; Arecaceae
Description: long non-coding RNA (EGUI_LNC066906)
Source: RNAcentral